AAAGAUUUAGUUUAAUAAAAACAUUAGUUUGUCAAGCUAAAAUAACUAUAUAAAGUAGUAAUCUUUU
RNAcentral lists this transfer RNA (67 nucleotides) under unidentified. RNAcentral's name for it is "Idiocerus herrichii tRNA-Asp". It matches the Rfam family "tRNA". From Rfam's summary of the family: Transfer RNA (tRNA) molecules are approximately 80 nucleotides in length. Their secondary structure includes four short double-helical elements and three loops (D, anti-codon, and T loops). The record is from RNAcentral.